This 24-nucleotide non-coding RNA is filed under the name Mus musculus (house mouse). The record is from RNAcentral. Lineage: Eukaryota; Metazoa; Chordata; Mammalia; Rodentia; Muridae.
UGCCAGGCACAGGCUAAAGCUCAC